UAGUUCGAUCCUGGCUCAGGAUGAACGCUGGCGGCGUGCCUAACACAUGCAAGUCGAGCGAUUUACUUCGGUAAAGAGCGGCGGACGGGUGAGUAACGCGUGGGUAACCUGCCCUGUACACACGGAUAACAUACCGAAAGGUAUGCUAAUACGAGAUAAAAUACUUUUAUCGCAUGGUAGAAGUAUCAAAGCUUUUGCGGUACAGGAUGGACCCGCGUCUGAUUAGCUAGUUGGUAAGGUAACGGCUUACCAAGGCGACGAUCAGUAGCCGACCUGAGAGGGUGAUCGGCCACAUUGGAACUGAGACACGAUCCAAACUCCUACGGGAGGCAGCAGUGGGGAAUAUUGCACAAUGGGCGAAAGCCUGAUGCAGCAACGCCGCGUGAGCGAUGAAGGCCUUCGGGUCGUAAAGCUCUGUCCUCAAGGAAGAUAAUGACGGUACUUGAGGAGGAAGCCCCGGCUAACUACGUGCCAGCAGCCGCGGUAAUACGUAGGGGGCUAGCGUUAUCCGGAAUUACUGGGCGUAAAGGGUGCGUAGGUGGUUUCUUAAGUCAGAGGUGAAAGGCUACGGCUCAACCGUAGUAAGCCUUUGAAACUGGGGAACUUGAGUGCAGGAGAGGAGAGUGGAAUUCCUAGUGUAGCGGUGAAAUGCGUAGAUAUUAGGAGGAACACCAGUUGCGAAGGCGGCUCUCUGGACUGUAACUGACACUGAGGCACGAAAGCGUGGGGAGCAAACAGGAUUAGAUACCCUGGUAGUCCACGCCGUAAACGAUGAGUACUAGCUGUCGGAGGUUACCCCCUUCGGUGGCGCAGCUAACGCAUUAAGUACUCCGCCUGGGAAGUACGCUCGCAAGAGUGAAACUCAAAGGAAUUGACGGGGACCCGCACAAGUAGCGGAGCAUGUGGUUUAAUUCGAAGCAACGCGAAGAACCUUACCUAAGCUUGACAUCCUUUUGACCGACGCCUAAUCGUAUCUUUCCCUUCGGGGACAGAAGUGACAGGUGGUGCAUGGUUGUCGUCAGCUCGUGUCGUGAGAUGUUGGGUUAAGUCCCGCAACGAGCGCAACCCUUGCCUUUAGUUGCCAGCAUUAAGUUGGGCACUCUAGAGGGACUGCCAGGGAUAACCUGGAGGAAGGUGGGGAUGACGUCAAAUCAUCAUGCCCCUUAUGCUUAGGGCUACACACGUGCUGCAAUGGGUGGUACAGAGGGCAGCCAAGUCGUGAGGCGGAGCUAAUCCCUUAUAGCCAUUCUCAGUUCGGAUUGUAGGCUGAAACUCGCCUACAUGAAGCUGGAGUUACUAGUAAUCGCAGAUCAGAAUGCUGCGGUGAAUGCGUUCCCGGGUCUUGUACACACCGCCCGUCACACCACGGAAGUUGGGGGCGCCCGAAGCCACUUAGCUAACCCUUUUGGGAAGCGAGUGUCGAAGGUGAAAUCAAUAACUGGGGUGAAGUCGUAACAAGGUAACC
Molecule: ribosomal RNA, 1465 nt
Filed under: uncultured bacterium
Lineage: Bacteria
Description: partial 16S ribosomal RNA
Rfam family: Bacterial small subunit ribosomal RNA
Source: RNAcentral